Molecule: ribosomal RNA, 253 nt
Filed under: uncultured bacterium
Lineage: Bacteria
Description: partial 16S ribosomal RNA
Rfam family: Bacterial small subunit ribosomal RNA
Source: RNAcentral
UACAGAGGUCUCAAGCGUUGUUCGGAUUCAUUGGGCGUAAAGGGCGCGUAGGCGGCAAUUCAAGUCAGCUGUGAAAUCUCCGGGCUUAACUCGGAACGGUCAGCUGAUACUGCUUUGCUAGAGUGCAGAAGGGGCAAUCGGAAUUCUUGGUGUAGCGGUGAAAUGCGUAGAUAUCAAGAGGAACACCUGAGGUGAAGACGGGUUGCUGGGCUGACACUGACGCUGAGGCGCGAAAGCCAGGGUAGCAAACGGG